GGUAAAUUUCAUGUAAAGCUAAAUACCUGCCAGAGACCGAUAGCGCACAAGUAGAGUGAUCGAAAGAUGAAAAGCACUUUGAAAAGAGAGUCAAACAGUACGUGAAAUUGUUGAAAGGGAAGGGGUUGCAAUCAGACUCGUUUGCAGAAGUUCAGCCUUCUUUCGAGAUGGUGUAUUCUUCUGUCAACGGGCCAGCAUCAGUUUCGGCGGUUGGAUAAAGACUUUGAGAACGUAUCUCUCCUCGGAGAGUGUUAUAGCUCGGAGUGUAAUGCAGCAGCUGAGACUGAG
This 288-nucleotide ribosomal RNA is filed under the name Graphis scripta. RNAcentral's name for it is "partial 28S large subunit ribosomal RNA". It matches the Rfam family "Eukaryotic large subunit ribosomal RNA", at positions 298 to 592 of the family's 3401-position model. The record is from RNAcentral. Lineage: Eukaryota; Fungi; Ascomycota; Lecanoromycetes; Ostropales; Graphidaceae.